Oncorhynchus keta (chum salmon) is the source of this 1646-nucleotide long non-coding RNA. RefSeq lists it as uncharacterized. Lineage: Eukaryota; Metazoa; Chordata; Actinopteri; Salmoniformes; Salmonidae. The record is from RefSeq and is a predicted model, not a curated record. The transcript has 3 exons.
GAAAGGUAAGAGGCCAAACUACAUGAGAUGAGUAUUCACCCUACAGAAAGGUAAGAGGCCAAACUACAUGAGAUGAGUAUUCACCCCACAGAAAGGUAAGAGGCCAAACUACAUGAGAUGAGUAUUCACCCCACAGAAAGGUAAGAGGCCAAACUACAUGAGAUGAGUAUUCACCCUACAGAAAGGUAAGAGGCCAAACUACAUGAGAUGAGUAUUCACCCCACAGAAAGGUAAGAGGCCAAACUACAUGAGAUGAGUAUUCACCCCACAGAAAGGUAAGAGGCCAAACUACAUGAGAUGAGUAUUCACCCCACAGAAAGGUAAGAGGCCAAACUAUAUGAGAUGAGUAUUCACCCCACAGAAAGGUAAGAGGCCAAACUACAUGAGAUGAGUAUUCACCCCACAGAAAGGUAAGAGGCCAAACUACAUGAGAUGAGUAUUCACCCCACAGAAAGGUAAGAGGCCAAACUACAUGAGAUGAGUAUUCACCCCACAGAAAGGUAAGAUGCCAAACUACAUGAGAUGAGUAUUCACCCCACAGAAAGGUAAGAGGCCAAACUAUAUGAGAUGAGUAUUCACCCCACAGAAAGGUAAGAGGCCAAACUAUAUGAGAUGAGUAUUCACCCCACAGAAAGGUAAGAGACCAAACUACAUGAGAUGAGUAUUCACCCCACAGAAAGGUAAGAGGCCAAACUGCAUGAGAGGUAAUGGAGCUAUUAUAUGACUCACAGGAGGCUGCUGAGGGGAGGACAGCGAAUGGAAUAGCAUCAAACACAUGGAAACCAUGGAAACCAUGUGUUGGGUGUUUUUUAUUUUUUAUUUUAUUUCACCUUUAUUUAACCAGGUAGGCUAGUUGAGAACACGUUCUCAUUUACAACUGCGACCUGGCCAAGAUAAAGCAAACUGUGCGACACAAACAACAACACAGAGUUACACAUGGAAUAAACAAGCGUACAGUCAAUAACACAAUAGAAAAAAGCAAGUCUAUAUACAGUGUGUGCAAAUGGCGUGAGGAGGUAAGGCAAUAAAUAGGCCAUAGUAGCGAAAUAAUUACAAUUUAGCAGAUUAACAUUGUACUUGAUACCAUUCCACUUAUUCCACUCCAGCCAUCACCACGAGCCCAUCCUCCCUAAUUAAGGUGCCACCAACCUCCUGUGGUAAAAGUGCGUCAUUGUUGGACAGGGUUUCCCAGCUGGUGGCCCACGGGCCAUUUUAUUUGUCCCCCAAAGUUGAGUUAAAACUCCAGCAAAUCAGCUGGUUUUUCAUUUUGUAAACCUGUUAGAAAGUGUUUCCAUGCAUAAUAGAGAGAAAUAUAUUUAUGUGAUUGAAUACAAAUUUAAACCAGGUUUGAAAUGAUGAUUUAGUAAAAUAUUAUAUCUGUUUGGACUUCUUGCAGUCAAUUUGCAGUCUACAAAUUAUUUGUAAUUAUGUUCUGGCCCCCUGAUCAUCCCGUCAAGAAAAAAUUGGGCCCGUGGCUGAAUCUAGUUGAGGAUCCCUGUUGUAGGGAUGUGUUUACUUUUGAAUAGCCAGGUUUCCUUAUAGCCUAUUUGCAUCAGUUUGGGUCAUUAAAUACUAUUGUCCUCUUGUUUCGUGAAGAAACCACAAGAGUCCAAAAGAGUUAGAAUGUUUUCUCACACAGUAUGAAU